Molecule: ribosomal RNA, 492 nt
Filed under: uncultured bacterium
Lineage: Bacteria
Description: partial 16S ribosomal RNA
Rfam family: Bacterial small subunit ribosomal RNA
Source: RNAcentral
AGUGAACGCUGGCGGUAGGCCUAACACAUGCAAGUCGAACGGCAGCACAGUAAGAGCUUGCUCUUACGGGUGGCGAGUGGCGGACGGGUGAGGAAUACAUCGGAAUCUACUUUUUCGUGGGGGAUAACGUGGGGAAACUUACGCUAAUACCGCAUACGACCUACGGGUGAAAGCAGGGGAUCUUCGGACCUUGCGCGAUUGAAUGAGCCGAUGUCGGAUUAGCUAGUUGGCGGGGUAAAGGCCCACCAAGGCGACGAUCCGUAGCUGGUCUGAGAGGAUGAUCAGCCACACUGGAACUGAGACACGGUCCAGACUCCUACGGGAGGCAGCAGUGGGGAAUAUUGGACAAUGGGCGCAAGCCUGAUCCAGCCAUACUGCGUGGGUGAAGAAGGCCUUCGGGUUGUAAAGCCCUUUUGUUGGGAAAGAAAAGCAGCAGGUUAAUACCCCGCUGUUCUGACGGUACCCAAAGAAUAAGCACCGGCUAACUUCGUG